RNAcentral lists this unclassified non-coding RNA (503 nucleotides) under Hevea brasiliensis (rubber tree). The record is from RNAcentral. Lineage: Eukaryota; Viridiplantae; Streptophyta; Magnoliopsida; Malpighiales; Euphorbiaceae.
AUCUUAGAAAAGGAUCUUUCACCACCAUUGUUACGGUUAUGCUUCCUGUGUUCAGCAUUGCAACUUCUGUGCUUACUGUCGCUAACACUUUCAGCAGUAAACAUUUCAUAAUCAACCUGACUAUUGACGUUACAAAUAAGCUCAUCCUUGCAAUCAUUUUCCGAACGAAACAAAUUACCAAACAUGGUCUCCAACUCCUUCAACAACGAAUCAAGUUUCCCAAUGACACCAACCUCUCCUUCCACCAAGUUCCCAUCUUUAAGUAUUGCUUUUAGCCAAUGAUCAAACUCUCUCAGAUACUUUGCAUACACCAACUUCAAAGACGCAACAGCCCCAGUAUCCGGCCCACAACGCUCUGCAACACAACCCCACAAGUUCUUGUACGAAACCAGAUCAUAACCACCUAGUUUCCUCACAAUCCAGAAGAGUUUAAACAAAUCUAUAGGCUUCCCACUACCACUCAAAACUGGAAAGCUCCGUACACUUUUUUUCUCAGGUUUCUG